UACGGAGGGUUAGCGUUGUUCGGAAUUACUGGGCGUAAAGCGCACGUAGGCGGAUUGGAAGUUGGGUGAAUCCCAGGGCUCAACCCUGGAACUGCCUCCAAACUCCCAGUCUGGAGUUCGAGAGAGGUGAGUGGAAUUCCGAGUGUAGAGGUGAGAUUCGUAGAUAUUCGGAGGAACACCAGUGGCGAAGGCGGCUCACUGGCUCGAUACUGACGCUGAGGUGCGAAAGUGUGGGAGCAAACAGG
Molecule: ribosomal RNA, 245 nt
Filed under: uncultured bacterium
Lineage: Bacteria
Description: partial 16S ribosomal RNA
Rfam family: Bacterial small subunit ribosomal RNA
Source: RNAcentral